UGCGUAGGUGGCUAAUUAAGUCAGUGGUGAAAGCCUGCAGCUCAACUGCAGAGGUGCCAUUGAUACUGGUUAGCUUGAGUAUGGACGAGGUAGGCGGAAUUUGUGGUGUAGCGGUGAAAUGCAUAGAUACCACAAAGAACACCGAUAGCGAAGGCAGCUUACUGGACCAUAACUGACACUGAGGCACGAAAGCGUGGGGAGCGAACAGGAUUAGAUACCCUGGUAGUCC
RNAcentral lists this ribosomal RNA (229 nucleotides) under uncultured bacterium. RNAcentral describes it as "partial 16S ribosomal RNA". It matches the Rfam family "Bacterial small subunit ribosomal RNA", at positions 568 to 796 of the family's 1533-position model. The record is from RNAcentral.